RNAcentral lists this ribosomal RNA (253 nucleotides) under uncultured bacterium. Its description in RNAcentral is "partial 16S ribosomal RNA". It matches the Rfam family "Bacterial small subunit ribosomal RNA", at positions 524 to 776 of the family's 1533-position model. The record is from RNAcentral.
UACGUAGGGUGCGAGCGUUAAUCGGAAUUACUGGGCGUAAAGGGUGCGCAGGCGGUUAUAUAAGACAGAUGGGAAAUCCCCGGGCUCGACCUGGGAACUGCGUUUGUGACUGUAUGACUAGAGUACGGUAGAGAGGGGUGGAAUUCCUGGUGUAGCAGUGAAAUGCGUAGAUAUCAAGUGGAACACCAGUGGCGAAGGCGAAUCUCUGGACAUUUCCUGACGCUGAGGCACGAAAGCCAGGGGAGCAAACGGG